Molecule: non-coding RNA, 199 nt
Filed under: Ceratina japonica
Lineage: Eukaryota; Metazoa; Arthropoda; Insecta; Hymenoptera; Apidae
Source: RNAcentral
GUAAGCGCGUUUGAAAUAAUAGGACAUGAGCGGGUAGGUCUCGUCUAUAUGAUGAGUACACCUACUGUGGAUUUUUAACCUAACCUAUUUAUCUUCUUUACGUGGUUUGGUCAAGCUUCUCCUUCCACUGCGAAAAUGGUAGAAGUAUUCUCAUGUCAUCAAUAUUUUGGACUUAUAAAACAUGAAACCUUAUAUUUUU